This 372-nucleotide ribosomal RNA is filed under the name Salmonella enterica subsp. enterica serovar Stanley. Its description in RNAcentral is "partial 23S ribosomal RNA". It matches the Rfam family "Bacterial large subunit ribosomal RNA", at positions 728 to 1097 of the family's 2925-position model. Lineage: Bacteria; Pseudomonadati; Pseudomonadota; Gammaproteobacteria; Enterobacterales; Enterobacteriaceae. The record is from RNAcentral.
AUCUAGCCAUGGGCAGGUUGAAGGUUGGGUAACACUAACUGGAGGACCGAACCGACUAAUGUUGAAAAAUUAGCGGAUGACCUGUGGCUGGGGGUGAAAGGCCAAUCAAACCGGGAGAUAGCUGGUUCUCCCCGAAAGCUAUUUAGGUAGCGCCUCGUGAAUUCAUCUCCGGGGGUAGAGCACUGUUUCGGCUAGGGGGCCAUCCCGGCUUACCAACCCGAUGCAAACUGCGAAUACCGGAGAAUGUUAUCACGGGAGACACACGGCGGGUGCUAACGUCCGUCGUGAAGAGGGAAACAACCCAGACCGCCAGCUAAGGUCCCAAAGUCAUGGUUAAGUGGGAAACGAUGUGGGAAGGCCCAGACAGCCAGG